Long non-coding RNA from Olea europaea var. sylvestris, 823 nucleotides. RefSeq lists it as uncharacterized. The transcript has 3 exons. Lineage: Eukaryota; Viridiplantae; Streptophyta; Magnoliopsida; Lamiales; Oleaceae. The record is from RefSeq and is a predicted model, not a curated record.
UAGCUUUGUCCUAAUGGGAUUGUAGAGUGGGAUGACAAAAAGACUAGGUGAAGAGAGGUCAAUAGGGUGCGUCCUGUUUUUCCUCCUGUCUCCAAUUCUGACCGUAUGGCUUUUCUCUAAGAAAUUUGGAUGAAGGUGUUUUUACAAAAAAAUUUGAACUUUUUUGAAUAGCUAAAUAAUUGAGACGAGGCACCACGGGCUUGAAUUUUUCGGAUCAAAUUACCACCCUAUGUGAGAGGUUUUGGGGGAAUUCUGAUUCCGGAGGAAAAGAUAACUUAUUUUCAUUUUCGUGCUUCCAUUUGCGCCACCUUGGACUGAUGGCCGCCGGAGAAAUCUGAUUAUGAUAAUGGGACUUGUAGCUGGGGCAAAUCUUCUCUGCUAAAUUUGGGAAUGAACUAUGUGGAACUGGAGUCGGGUGUACGAUCUUUAGCAGACGACUAUUCCUAUGAUGAACGGGCUUUUCACGAUGUAAUGAACUACUCCUACGGGGGACUACUUCCUAAACCACUAAACUUAGCACCAGGGGGAUUCUUCAACCCGGAUUGGUUCAGAGACUUCAUAUCUACAACAGAGGGUUCACUUAUCAUAUAUAAUCUUGGUACAGUGGAGCCAAUUUAUUCUUUCAACUCAAGAACACCCUUUGGUAUGCGGAAACACCGGUAAUCGGUAAGUCGGGAGGAGCCUGUAACAUUGGCGAUAACCAUGUCUCAAUACAUUUGUCUAUAGUUUGUGGUAAUGUUAGCAGCAAAAACGUUUUCUUAAUUGUUUAUUUGCUUGUAGCUAUUAAAUGGAUUAUGUUUGGAAUAUAUGAAACUUGGAUCAA